AGCGAACGCUGGCGGCAGGCUUAACACAUGCAAGUCGAACGCACCGCAAGGUGAGUGGCAGACGGGUGAGUAACACGUGGGAACGUGCCCUUCGGUUCGGGAUAACUCAGGGAAACUUGAGCUAAUACCGGAUACGCCCUUUUGGGGAAAGGUUUACUGCCGAAGGAUCGGCCCGCGUCUGAUUAGCUAGUUGGUGGGGUAAUGGCCUACCAAGGCGACGAUCAGUAGCUGGUCUGAGAGGANGAUCAGCCACACUGGGACUGAGACACGGCCCAGACUCCUACGGGAGGCAGCAGUGGGGAAUAUUGGACAAUGGGCGCAAGCCUGAUCCAGCCAUGCCGCGUGAGUGAU
This 351-nucleotide ribosomal RNA is filed under the name uncultured bacterium. RNAcentral's name for it is "bacterial SSU rRNA". It matches the Rfam family "Bacterial small subunit ribosomal RNA", at positions 29 to 409 of the family's 1533-position model. The record is from RNAcentral.